CCUACGGGUGGCAGCAGUGAGGAAUAUUGGUCAAUGGACGAGAGUCUGAACCAGCCAAGUAGCGUGAAGGAUGACUGCCCUAUGGGUUGUAAACUUCUUUUAUAAAGGAAUAAAACGAGGCACGUGUGCCUUUUUGCAUGUACUUUAUGAAUAAGGAUCGGCUAACUCCGUGCCAGCAGCCGCGGUAAUACGGAGGAUCCGAGCGUUAUCCGGAUUUAUUGGGUUUAAAGGGAACUUAGAUGGGUUGUUAAGUCAGUUGUGAAAGUUUGCGGCUCAACCGUAAAAUUGCAAUUGAUACUGGAAGUCUUGAGUACAGUUGAGGUAGGCGGAAUUCGUGGUGUAGCGGUGAAAUGCUUAGAUAUCACGAAGAACCCCGAUUGCGAAGGCAGCUUACUAAACUGUGACUGACAUUGAUGCUCGAAAGUGUGGGUAUCAAACAGGAUUAGAUACCCUAGUAGUC
RNAcentral lists this ribosomal RNA (460 nucleotides) under uncultured bacterium. RNAcentral describes it as "partial 16S ribosomal RNA". It matches the Rfam family "Bacterial small subunit ribosomal RNA", at positions 338 to 795 of the family's 1533-position model. The record is from RNAcentral.